This is a long non-coding RNA of Ziziphus jujuba (common jujube), 1060 nucleotides long. RefSeq lists it as uncharacterized. The record is from RefSeq and is a predicted model, not a curated record. The transcript has 4 exons. Lineage: Eukaryota; Viridiplantae; Streptophyta; Magnoliopsida; Rosales; Rhamnaceae.
UUAUGACAAGUGUGAGUUAUUUUAAAUUUAUAAGAAAAUCUCUCAACGGCUUUAUUCCUCCUCCGGUUCUUCUUUUCUCGCCUCUCUCUUUUCCUUCCGAUUAAUGAAUCAAUUCGCCGUAGUUCAAUCCCAGGGCUGCAGUUGUCUUAUUCUCUAAUGUGAAAGACUUGACCCUGGCAUAUUUUCUUACUUCACAUGUACCAUAUUCUGGCCAAGGGAAGGAAGUAUGUGAUGCUGUAAUCCCAAAAUGCCUUGCCCCACAGUUCCUUGCAUUUGUCAUGAAUUUUCUUUUGUGUGUCCUCUGAUUAACUUAAAGAAAAGAGAGGUUUGCUGAUUGCUUUUGGGUUAGGAUAAAUAUGUCUGGAUGGGGAAAGGGUGUUUCUUUAUCUUUGGCAUUGUGAAAUGCCAUAACAAACCUUGCUGGUAAGUUAAGUUAGUCUCUCUAUUUCCUUUCAUGUUGAUAAAAAGAUAUUAUUAAGGGUGGUUUUUGGUGAGAUAAUAAUAUCGACUGUGAAGGUCUCCAAACUUGUGUAAGUGCCUCUUUAUUUCUUAGUUUGGUAUGCAAGUUAUCAAAUAUUCUUUUUCCUUGCAUGAUAUUAAUUGUGUUGGUAAAUUUACCAAGAACAAUUUACCUAUCUUGCAAGAUAUUAAUAUGCUUCUGUUUUUGACGAACAAUGGCACCAUGAACCCAUGUCAGUAGACGGGAAAAUGAGGUGGAGAAAAGAAAUCAAACGAUGGAUCAAACAUGGAGGGAAGUUAUAGUUUCUGGACAGCAAUAUUCAGAGAAAGAAGCAGACAUUAAGACAGCCAUGACAGAUAUUCAUCCCCCUCCUUAAAAUUUGGACUUGAAAUUCAUUUUAUGUGACACUGUGUUGUAUUAAACACUAGGAUAUAUGUUGAUAAUAAUAAAAAGAUAAAUAUUUUUUGGGUUUGGGAGGAAGAAGACUGCUAGGAGUGCCAAGUCUCUUCCUCUCUCUGCUCUGUAUGGUUUGUGUGUGUAUGUUCCCCUCUCUCUUCCUCGCUUUCUUCCCUAUUCAAUCUCUCUCUGUGCUUUCGCUUU